RNAcentral lists this ribosomal RNA (415 nucleotides) under uncultured bacterium. RNAcentral describes it as "bacterial SSU rRNA". It matches the Rfam family "Bacterial small subunit ribosomal RNA", at positions 958 to 1374 of the family's 1533-position model. The record is from RNAcentral.
AACGCGAAGAACCUUACCUGGGCUUGACAUACACCGGAAACAUCCAGAGAUGGGUGCCCCGCAAGGUCGGUGUACAGGUGGUGCAUGGCUGUCGUCAGCUCGUGUCGUGAGAUGUUGGGUUAAGUCCCGCAACGAGCGCAACCCUCGUUCCAUGUUGCCAGCGCGUAAUGGCGGGGACUCAUGGGAGACUGCCGGGGUCAACUCGGAGGAAGGUGGGGAUGACGUCAAGUCAUCAUGCCCCUUAUGUCCAGGGCUUCACACAUGCUACAAUGGCCGGUACAAAGGGCUGCUAAGCCGCGAGGUGGAGCGAAUCCCAUAAAGCCGGUCUCAGUUCGGAUCGGGGUCUGCAACUCGACCCCGUGAAGUCGGAGUCGCUAGUAAUCGCAGAUCAGCAACGCUGCGGUGAAUACGUUCC